This 497-nucleotide ribosomal RNA is filed under the name uncultured bacterium. RNAcentral's name for it is "partial 16S ribosomal RNA". It matches the Rfam family "Bacterial small subunit ribosomal RNA", at positions 28 to 507 of the family's 1533-position model. The record is from RNAcentral.
GAUGAACGCUGGCGGCGUGCCUAAUACAUGCAAGUCGAGCGAACAGACGAGGAGCUUGCUCCUCUGUCGUUAGCGGCGCACGGGUGAGUAACACGUGUAUAACCUACCUAUAAGACUGGGAUCACUUCGGGAAACCGGAGAUUAUACCGGAUAAUAUAUUGAACCGCAUGGUUCAUUAGUGAGAGUCGGUUUUGCUGUCACUUCUAGAUGGAUCCGCGCCGCAUUAGCUAGUUGGUAAGGUCACGGCUUACCAAGGCAACGAUGCGUAGCCGACCUGAGAGAGUGAUAGGCCACACUGGAACUGAGACACGCUCCAGACUCCUACGGGAGGCAGCAGUAGGGAAUCUUCCGCAAUGGGCGAAAGCCUGACGGAGCAACGCCGCGUGAGUGAUGAAGGUGUUCGGAUCGUAAAACUCUGUUAUUAGGGAAGAACAAAUGUGUAAGUAACUAUGCACGUAUUGACGGUACCGAAUCAGAAAGCCACGGCUAACUACGUG